This 558-nucleotide ribosomal RNA is filed under the name Pseudokahliella marina. RNAcentral describes it as "eukaryotic LSU rRNA". The stretch from base 163 to 315 matches the Rfam family "5.8S ribosomal RNA". The record is from RNAcentral. Lineage: Eukaryota; Ciliophora; Spirotrichea; Stichotrichida; Kahliellidae.
GUAGGUGAACCUGCGGAAGGAUCAUUAACACUAAUCCAAUCAACUCAACCUAGCCUUCAGUUGCAGUAGCAGCAUUCCAGCGAAAGCAGGUAGUGCGGCAACUGCAACAACAAAAAACUAAUUCACGCAAAGGAGCCUAACUAAGCUCAACCACAAAAACCAAAUUCUCAACGAUGGAUAUCUUGGUUCCCAUAACGAUGAAGAACGCAGCGAAGUGCGAUAAGCAAUGCGAAUUGCAGAACCGUGAGUCAUCAGAUCUUUGAACGCAACUGGCGCCGGCUGGGCCCUCCAGCCGGCAUGCUUGUUUCAGUGUCUUUUUCUCUCAUCACCCAAAUCUUAAUGCGAGAGAUACCCUUCUCUUGCUAAGCACGAAAGCACUCUGUGCUCUGCGAGCGGCUUCCCCGACUUGUUCGGGGGUCGCACUCAAUGCAGCCGUCACAUUGCUCACAAUGUGAACUCAUUGGGAGUAGAGACAGCGCAGCAACCGCUGCCAGUGUUUAGUCACUAAAACUUUCUUUGCAUCUGAAAUCAAGCAGGACCACCCGCUGAACUUAAGCA